Molecule: long non-coding RNA, 755 nt
Organism: Physeter macrocephalus (sperm whale)
Lineage: Eukaryota; Metazoa; Chordata; Mammalia; Artiodactyla; Physeteridae
Exons: 4
Source: RefSeq, a predicted model, not a curated record
GGAGAGGGUCUGGGCUCUCUCUUGAUUGGGGUAAUACCUGCCGGUUCAUGCAUCAGUUGCUCUUGCAUUUUCUGGCUGAGGGUUUGCCUGGCAGCUUGGCGAGACUCCUGCCUAGAAAUAGAUGGAGUGGGAAUGGGACAGGACUUGUUACUUAACUCCCAGUGGAGCCCUUUCUCAGAGACUUAACGUGCCUCUCUCACCAUAGGUAGCUUGUACAAGUUGCUUCGAUACCCUUUCUAUGGGUAAAGAUAAUCUUAUUUUUCUAUGCUUCUUCCAGAGGCCUUGGACUAUUGAAUAUUUUUAAGGGAAUUUGUGCCCAGACCAAGCUGGAUGUGGGGAAGGGGCUGGAAUCAGGACCCAGGCUUCCUUGGCCAACUAUUUCAAGCAAAUAAGACGAUUUGAGAGCCAGUAAGAAGAUGAAGUCUAACAGGUGUGGUUUUGGAUUAGCUGCUGACCUAAUAGUUGGUUCCAUAUUAUACGGUAUCAAAGUGUAAAUGUAAUACCACAGCCCUACUACCAGCUAUGACAUCUUUGGGUAACUGACCCUAGUGUGUGUUAUUUCCUCCACGAAUACGUGAGCUGAAAGGGCUUCCCUGUGGCCCAUGUGCCACAACUACUGAAGCCCACGCACCUAGAGCCUGUGCUCUGCAACAACUGCAAUGAGAAGCCUGCGCACUGCAACGAAGAGUAGCCCCCGCUCGCUGCAACUAGAGAAAGCCUGUGCACAGCAACAAAGACCCAAUACAGCCAAAAAU